UUUGGAGUUGGGAUUGGCAAAUCCGUUCCAACAAUUCUGAGGCGUGAUGGGGAAGGUUCUACGGAACCGAAGUAUCUGAUUCCAUGCUUCCAAGAAAAGCAUCUAGAGAGAGAAGUAGUGCCCGUACCGCAAACCGACACAGGUAGGUGAGGAGAGAAUCCUAAGGCCGACGGAAGAAUUGCAGUUAAGGAACUAGGCAAAUUGACCCCGUAACUUCGGGAGAAGGGGUGCCUGAGAAAUCAGGCCGCAGAGAAUAGGCACAAGCAACUGUUUAACAAAAACACAGGUCUCUGCUAAAGCGAAAGCUGAUGUAUAGGGGCUGACGCCUGCCCGGUGCUGGAAGGUUAAGGGGAACACUUAGUGGUAACGCGAAGGUGUGAGCUUAAGCCCCAGUAAACGGCGGCCGUAACAAUAACGGUCCUAAGGUAGCGAAAUUCCUUGUCAGGUAAGUUCUGACCCGCACGAAUGGCGUAAUGACUUGUGCACUGUCUCAACUGCAAAUCCGGCGAAGUUGUAGUGCGAGUGAAGAUGCUCGCUACCCGCGAUUGGACGGAAAGACCCCGUAGAGCUUUACUGUAGCUUAGCAUUGAAUUUCGGUAUUGUCUGUACAGGAUAGGUGGGAGACUGGGAAACUAGGGCGUCAGCCUUGGUGGAGUCGUUGUUGGGAUACCACCCUGAUAGUAUUGAAGUUCUAACUGGAUGCCAUGAAACUGGUGACAGGACAUUGUUAGGUGGGCAGUUUGACUGGGGCGGUCGCCUCCUAAAAUGUAACGGAGGCGCCCAAAGGUUCCCUCAGAACGGUCGGAAAUCGUUCGAAGAGUGUAAAGGCAGAAGGGAGCCUGACUGCGACACCUACAAGUGGAGCAGGGACGAAAGUCGGGCUUAGUGAUCCGGUGGUACCUCGUGGGAGGGCCAUCGCUCAACGGAUAAAAGCUACCUCGGGGAUAACAGGCUGAUCUCCCCCAAGAGUUCACAUCGACGGGGAGGUUUGGCACCUCGAUGUCGGCUCGUCGCAUCCUGGGGCUGAAGUAGGUCCCAAGGGUUGGGCUGUUCGCCCAUUAAAGCGGCACGCGAGCUGGGUUCAGAACGUCGUGAGACAGUUCGGUCCCUAUCCGUCGCGGGCGUAGGAAAUUUGAGAGGAGCUGUCCUUAGUACGAGAGGACCGGGAUGGACUGACCUAUGGUGUACCAGUUGUUUCGCCAGAAGCAUAGCUGGGUAGCUAAGUCGGGAAGGGAUAAACGCUGAAAGCAUCUAAGUGUGAAGCCCACCUCAAGAUGAGAUUUCCCAUAGCAUAAGCUAGUAAGACCCCUUGAAGACUACAAGGUUGAUAGGUCAGAGGUGUAAGUGCGGCAACGUAUUUAGCUGACUGAUACUAAUAGGUCGAGGGCUUGACCA
Molecule: ribosomal RNA, 1395 nt
Filed under: metagenome
Description: bacterial LSU rRNA
Rfam family: Bacterial large subunit ribosomal RNA
Source: RNAcentral